Molecule: ribosomal RNA, 253 nt
Filed under: uncultured bacterium
Lineage: Bacteria
Description: partial 16S ribosomal RNA
Rfam family: Bacterial small subunit ribosomal RNA
Source: RNAcentral
UACGGGGGGAGCAAGCGUUGUUCGGAUUUACUGGGCGUAAAGGGCGCGUAGGCGGCACCGCAAGUCGACUGUGAAAUCUCCGGGCUUAACUCGGAAAGGUCAGCCGAUACUGCGGGGCUAGAGUGCAGAAGGGGCAACUGGAAUUCUCGGUGUAGCGGUGAAAUGCGCAGAUAUCGGGAGGAACACCGGUGGCGAAGGCGGUUCUCUGGGCCUUACCUGACGCUGAGGAGCGAAAGCGUGGGGAGCGAACAGG